RNAcentral lists this transfer RNA (77 nucleotides) under bacterium Ellin6529. Its description in RNAcentral is "tRNA-Asp". It matches the Rfam family "tRNA". From Rfam's summary of the family: Transfer RNA (tRNA) molecules are approximately 80 nucleotides in length. Their secondary structure includes four short double-helical elements and three loops (D, anti-codon, and T loops). The record is from RNAcentral. RNAcentral also lists the same sequence under 38 other names.
GGACCCGUGGUGUAGCGGCCCAACAUGCCAGCCUGUCACGCUGGAGAUCGCCGGUUCGAAUCCGGUCGGGUCCGCCA